RNAcentral lists this long non-coding RNA (659 nucleotides) under Citrus sinensis (sweet orange). RNAcentral describes it as "long non-coding RNA (CSIN_LNC002811)". The record is from RNAcentral. Lineage: Eukaryota; Viridiplantae; Streptophyta; Magnoliopsida; Sapindales; Rutaceae.
AUCUCCCCAUACCCAUCCCCGAUAUUUUGCAUAUGUCCCCGUCCCCUCCCCGUCCCCGUCAGAAUUACUUGAGAGAAUCCCCAUCCCCUCCCCGAAUAAUAACAGGGGAUCCCCGAGGGUCCCCGGUCCCCGAAUAACUAAUAGUCUAAUACAUUAUUUUUAUUUUCGAUUUUAAAUUAAUCAUAUUAAAAUAAAAAAUUCAGAUAAAAAUAAAGUUCAAAAUAUAUCUUACAUUAAUAUUGAUCCAUUACAAAGUCACAUUCAAAAUAUAAAUUAUUAAAAUAAUUAUAAAACAAUGAAAAUAAUAUAAGUAAAGUAACUUAUAAGUGCAAAUAUUAAUAACUGUAUAAUAUAAUCACAAUGUAAAAUAAACUCAUACUGUUAUUGUAAGCUCGUAACCAACUUUGACAGCACAUUAAGGCCUCCAAUGUGCUUGGAUGAAGUUUGUUACGGUGUGGGCUCACAACUCUACCACCGCGAAUAAAAAAUUGGGUAAAAAAUUUUCCCCGUCCCCUCCCCGAAUAAAAAAUUGGGUAAAAAAUUUUCCCCGUCCCCUCCCCGAAUAAAAAAUUGGGUAUAAAAUUAUCCCCAUACCCUCCCCGAAUGGGGAAAAUCCCCGAGGGUACCCGUCCCCGUGGGGAUUUUUGCCAUCCCUACUU